GUCUCUGUGGCGCUGUCGGUUAGCGUGUUUGGCUGUUAACUGAAAGGUCGGUGGCUCAAACCCACCCAGAGACG
This is a non-coding RNA of Rhincodon typus (whale shark), 74 nucleotides long. Lineage: Eukaryota; Metazoa; Chordata; Chondrichthyes; Orectolobiformes; Rhincodontidae. The record is from the annotation of a RefSeq genome assembly.